CUAGGGCACUCUCGCGGGACAAUGGGUGUCACGGCAGCCAGCGACCGUUUGUCAUUCACAGCUGCCUGAAAGGAGGACCGCAGUAUUCCCACGCAGGAAGCUUGGACCAAAAGCAGGAAUGCUUAAGGGCGCAUAUGACUUGCCAUGGUAAAAAACAGGAUGCCAACCCAGGCCUGAUGACAUCCACCUCACUAAAAGCUAAGGACUAGGACUUUCUGCUUUAAACAAGGACCCACAUGUGGGUGUUUUCUGUGGGAGAGGGAGAGAGGACAUUCGAAGGGCAGAAGUCUGACCUUUGCAAGCACACGUGAACCACACCAAUGAGAAAUGAAUGGACGAGCCAGAUGCCAAUUUAUAAAUUUCCUACUGCACACCUUGAAUGUGAAAGUACAUGUGGCCGACAAAGAGAAGGGAAGAUGGAGCCGCCAUCUUCAACAGGAGUGGCACAACUGUCGGAUCUAUGUCUGCAGCUGGAUUUUACAGGCUGCUCUUCGUUAGAAAGGAAAACUUUACGGAGGACUUCCAUGCCUUCACUAUCUGCCUAAGUAAAUUCUUCUUAACUCCUGUA
Molecule: long non-coding RNA, 568 nt
Filed under: Homo sapiens (human)
Lineage: Eukaryota; Metazoa; Chordata; Mammalia; Primates; Hominidae
Description: non-protein coding lnc-ANKRD27-1:2
Source: RNAcentral